Molecule: ribosomal RNA, 447 nt
Filed under: uncultured bacterium
Lineage: Bacteria
Description: partial 16S ribosomal RNA
Rfam family: Bacterial small subunit ribosomal RNA
Source: RNAcentral
AGCGAACGCUGGCGGCAGGCUUAACACAUGCAAGUCGAACGCCCCGCAAGGGGAGUGGCAGACGGGUGAGUAACACGUGGGAACGUACCCUUUGGUUCGGAAUAACUUGGGGAAACUCAAGCUAAUACCGGAUAAGCCCUUAUGGGAAAAGGUUUACUGCCGAAGGAUCGGCCCGCGUCUGAUUAGCUAGUUGGUGAGGUAAUGGCUCACUAAGGCGACGAUCAGUAGCUGGUCUGAGAGGAUGAUCAGCCACACUGGGACUGAGACACGGCCCAGACUCCUACGGGAGGCAGCAGUGGGGAAUAUUGGACAAUGGGGGCAACCCUGAUCCAGCCAUGCCGCGUGAGUGAUGAAGGCCUUAGGGUUGUAAAGCUCUUUUACCCGGGACGAUAAUGACUGUACCGGGAGAAUAAGCCCCGGCUAACUUCGUGCCAGCCGCCGCGGUAA